GACGAACGCUGGCGGCGUGCCUAAUACAUGCAAGUAGGACGCUGAAGGAGGAGCUUGCUUCUCUGGAUGAGUUGCGAACGGGUGAGUAACGCGUAGGUAACCUGCCUGGUAGCGGGGGAUAACUAUUGGAAACGAUAGCUAAUACCGCAUAAUAGUAGAUGUUGCAUGACAUUUGCUUAAAAGGUGCAAUUGCCUCACUACCAGAUGGACCUGCGUUGUAUUAGCUAGUUGGUGGGGUAACGGCUCACCAAGGCGACGAUACAUAGCCGACCUGAGAGGGGGAUCGGCCACACUGGGACUGAGACACGGCCCAGACUCCUACGGGAGGCAGCAGUAGGGAAUCUUCGGCAAUGGACGGAAGUCUGACCGAGCAACGCCGCGUGAGUGAAGAAGGUUUUCGGAUCGUAAAGCUCUGUUGUAAGAGAAGAACGAGUGUGAGAGUGGAAAGUUCACACUGUGACGGUAUCUUACCAGAAAGGGACGGCUAACUACGUG
RNAcentral lists this ribosomal RNA (495 nucleotides) under uncultured bacterium. RNAcentral describes it as "partial 16S ribosomal RNA". It matches the Rfam family "Bacterial small subunit ribosomal RNA", at positions 28 to 507 of the family's 1533-position model. The record is from RNAcentral.